AGGAUCAUCUAGACUGUUGGACCCAUUAUCAUCCAACUUAAUCAAAGGCUAUGAUCUAGUUAUCACCAUAACUAUUUUAUUUUUAAGGACCUAAUAAUUUUAGAUGAUUUAAUUAGAUGAAAUGAAAGAUGAGAAAAGACAUGACCGACUAAUUUUAAUCCUCUCACUGACUUCUCCAAGUCAGAUCAAAGAAGACUAAACAUAAGCUGGCUCAGCCAACCAGUCAUAAAUCCUCCCACUAACUUCAUCGAGUCAUGAAGAGGACUAUAGACAAAUUGAACUAGGGG
RNAcentral lists this long non-coding RNA (287 nucleotides) under Elaeis guineensis (African oil palm). RNAcentral describes it as "long non-coding RNA (EGUI_LNC056829)". Lineage: Eukaryota; Viridiplantae; Streptophyta; Magnoliopsida; Arecales; Arecaceae. The record is from RNAcentral.